GACGAACGCUGGCGGCGUGCCUAAUACAUGCAAGUCGAGCGGACUUAAAAAGCUUGCUUUUUAAGUUAGCGGCGGACGGGUGAGUAACACGUGGGCAACCUGCCUGUAAGACUGGGAUAACUUCGGGAAACCGGAGCUAAUACCGGAUAAUCCUUUUCUACUCAUGUAGAAAAGCUGAAAGACGGUUUACGCUGUCACUUACAGAUGGGCCCGCGGCGCAUUAGCUAGUUGGUGAGGUAACGGCUCACCAAGGCGACGAUGCGUAGCCGACCUGAGAGGGUGAUCGGCCACACUGGGACUGAGACACGGCCCAGACUCCUACGGGAGGCAGCAGUAGGGAAUCUUCCGCAAUGGACGAAAGUCUGACGGAGCGACGCCGCGUGAGUGAUGAAGGUUUUCGGAUCGUAAAACUCUGUUGUUAGGGAAGAACAAGUACGAGAGUAACUGCUCGUACCUUGACGGUACCUAACCAGAAAGCCACGGCUAACUACGUG
RNAcentral lists this ribosomal RNA (494 nucleotides) under uncultured bacterium. RNAcentral's name for it is "partial 16S ribosomal RNA". It matches the Rfam family "Bacterial small subunit ribosomal RNA", at positions 28 to 507 of the family's 1533-position model. The record is from RNAcentral.